RNAcentral lists this microRNA precursor (162 nucleotides) under Pelobates cultripes (western spadefoot toad). The record is from RNAcentral. Lineage: Eukaryota; Metazoa; Chordata; Amphibia; Anura; Pelobatidae.
CAGCAGACACAUUCCAGCCAAUCAGCAGCAGACCCUCCCUCCUAAACCCUCCCACCUCCUGGACAGCAUCCAUUGUGAAGUUGCAUUCUUAGUGAGCUGUCCAGGAGGUUGGAGGGUCUGGGAGGGAGGGUCUGCUGAUGAUUGGCUGGAAUGUGUCUGCUG